CUGUUCAUCCACAAAAGUUUGCUUUAGGAGGCUGAGCUCAUAAGUAUGAACAGUUAGUUCCAAGCAUGGAUAUGAUGUGCACCUUCCCCACAUACAGUGCUCUUGAUGUGCUGAGCACAAAGAUCCACUUGCAACUUUCAGUGGUAUUCACCGGCAUUCCACUUUGUUUGUAGACGAGCUUCCCAUUCUCCACGAUGACUUCGUAUGCUUCCCUCUCUUUCUGCAGGGUGGUGAACACAGUACAAUGUAUGGUCAGAUACACCUUCGCAUCACUCCACCAGAUAAGGUCGGGCUGGAGUGAUCGAACAAGGAGAGCUUACCGGACCAAGAUAGCUGAUGCACUGCUUUUGAAGCUUGCUUCUUGGGCACCUCUCCAGAUUUACUUCUCUUCCGUCUCCGACGUCCAACCUUCACAUUCGACCAAAGGAAGGAACAGGUGAGCAUUUCUCACUGAAAGACUUGUGUCAAUUUCUGUGCUUACCAGUAGAAAAAUGGUUGUGUGCUUUCACUUCCAGACCAGACAUCAUAAUACAAAUGCAAGUUGUGCCCAUAGCGAUGCCGGGGAUCAAUCUGCACGGUGCCUGGUUGUGGAUUAGAUUACCAUAAAGCCAUCUCUCUGUGCUACCAAGGUAGAGGAUACUCACGGCUUCUAACCAAUGUUGCAGUGCUAGCUUCUGAGCCUUUUCAUCUUUGGAGAGGCCCUUACCGACCUGAGAAAAAUGGAUGCACACACAUAUCAUAUUGAUUGGAUAUACAUUGGAACAAUUAUAGAGCUUAUGCGUCAUGACAUAUCAAUCCGAUCGAUUACCCUGGCUGCUCUUCUUUUCGCUCUU
This 833-nucleotide long non-coding RNA is filed under the name Musa acuminata (dwarf banana). RNAcentral's name for it is "long non-coding RNA (MACU_LNC004339)". Lineage: Eukaryota; Viridiplantae; Streptophyta; Magnoliopsida; Zingiberales; Musaceae. The record is from RNAcentral.